Long non-coding RNA from Eublepharis macularius, 3657 nucleotides. RefSeq lists it as uncharacterized. The transcript has 2 exons. Lineage: Eukaryota; Metazoa; Chordata; Lepidosauria; Squamata; Eublepharidae. The record is from RefSeq and is a predicted model, not a curated record.
GGGCUACUCUCUUCGGCCGGCACUGGACGGAGCGGAUUAGCCCUGCAAGACAGGUGAGUCCGGCUGGCUUGCCGCGACGGGGGCAGGGGGAGCAGCAGCUUCAUCUCUUGCUAGGCGGAGGGCCUGCAGGGCGGCCUGGCCUGCUCCGGGGGCUGUGCAGCCAGCGAUCCCUAGACUUGGGGGGACCCACCUGUCUUAUGUCUGCAGCCUUCCACGUUUCUAGUGACUGGCUCCUUUGGGGAUCAGCCCCUUUUGCAGAGGACCCCCAAGGGGUACUUCGUCGCCUCUGAAAUAGCCGCAGUUGUUCCAGAACCCUUGGAGGGUGCGGUAGGUGGGCAACUCCUGGUGCCCUUGUUGGCGCUUUUCUCCAAGAAGGGGCAAGGGGCAGGCAGCUAUCUCCCUUGUGCUGGGCAGCAAUCUCUCUUCUAUGGGGAAGGAAGGGUGAAGCAUGCUUGAAGCAGUGGUGGUUGCAGCAGAGGCUGUCCGGUCCUGGUGGGGGACAGCCCCUUGUCCUGCCAAGUCUGGGGUUAGCUCUACUCCCAUGCAAGCCGGACAGUGCUUGACUACCCCCCACUCAAGCAGAGGUGGCCUGGCCUAUGUGCCAUUUCACUAGAGCGGAGUGGGACGGGCGUUGGCAUAGGGUGGGCCAGUUGGAAAUGUCUCUUGCCUGGUUUUUCACAGGUGUCCCUCAUGUCCUGGCACUCUUCUCUGCCCACUUGGAGUAAACCAAGUUGAUGUACAUGGCCUGUCUUGCCUGGCAAGUGUAGAGGGCUAGCAAUGAAACUGGGUCCUUCUCGUCCUCAAUCUCUUCCACCCAGUAGUUGCCAGAGUCUGAAGCUGCCCUGGAUGAGUUGGGCAUUACUCAUGGGGGGCUUCCUGGAGGAGGAAUUCUGCCAUCGUGUUGUGUACAGAGACGAUGCCUGGCACCAAGUCUGGCACCUCACGCGCACAAAGAUGAGCUUGGCUACUGAGCCCCAGUCUUGAGGGCCCCUUCUAGUUUCCUUCCCUACAAAUAGGUCUUUGGCAAGGGGUGGGGUGGAAUGCCUGGGAGCCUCAAAGGGUGUGCUGCUAUGCAUGGAUCGAGGUUUUGCCUCCCAAGUGGCCCUUUUCCUUGCCUGCUGUUGGGGGACACAGAUGGCUGCUCCUGUCUCCUGGCUGUGGUCCUGUAGAUAUAUCAGGGAUGAUGACAGGAGAGCUGAGCCACAGGGAAAAAGGCCUCUGCCCUUGCUUGGAUAUCAGCAUUGGAUCCUCCGCCCUUGGCUGCGAGUCACCAUUAUUCAGCAUGAAGACUUCAGAGAGUGACUCCAGAGUAAAACCGCUGUGUUGGAAUGGAUCCUGUUCUGAACCAGCGGAAGUCUGAAUCGAGCUUUAAAGCUUUCUCGCCUAUUGCAGCGUGACAAAAGUUCGGUUCUUGCCCGUUCCUGCUGUUGGACAUGGUUGUGCGUGUCGGGGCCUUGUGUAGAAAUGGUGCAAACGUGGCAGGUUGCUAGCAUUUCAUUGCCCUUUGACCCCACUGUCUUUUCUAAUAUGCCUGCCCAUCUACCAACUCUGGUGAUUGUUUUAAUUGCCUCUGAUGAAGGGAUGCCCCAUCCUUCCUGAGCUGUCACAAUAAAUGCGUACCAGAAGACUCUUGAUUUUGCUGAGAUUUGAAACCGCAGCCUGUCUAUGCUUACUUCCUGCUGUUCCUGGGCUGCAAGUGGGUCAGAAGGAGGAAAGAUCCUCCAACACAGGCUUCUCUCCUCUGCUCUCUACCACCACCACCCCACUGGUGAAAUGCAGCUGACUCCAGGGUGGUGUUUCAACCCUUCCUAAAGUACUUGUUGAUCUCAAAUGUUUCUGCAGCCCUCAUAUGCCUGAGGAGGAAGUGCAGGGGCGGUGCCUGGCAGUGUGCCUGCCCAGUUAGCGAGGAGGGCUUUGCACUGCCUUGCAGAGGAGAGGGGCUCCUUCAUCUCUGCCCUUGUCCCAGCCCAUCCCUCCCAAGUGAAUUCUCUUUCAUUUAAAGUGCACAAGGUGCAUAAAAUAGUUAUGGGGGCUUGACUUACAGUGGAGGCUAGAGCUCCCUCUGCUGACUAAAUGGGGCAUUGCUGUUCUUUCCGUGGAGAGGCGUUCUCUGCUCAUCUGAACCAAAUAGGGGAAAUUUUUAUAUAUAUCAAAAGGCUAAAUCAUCUUGGCUGGAAUUUGCUUCCAAGAGUGGAAAUUUACAUGCUUCUGAUUAUUAGGUUUUCUGCAACAGAUGCUGCUGUAUUUAAGUUUUUUUGGUGCUUGGGUAGUGGUGGUAAUACAAAACUAGCCGAGUUUCAAAAGGAUCUUAAUGUGGCCUGUUUAAUGUUUGGUGUUGCCUUUAGCUAGUCAACAAAACAGUUAGGUUUUUCAGUUCCAAAUAAAAUAUAUUCAGUUCCAAAGUAGCAUAAUUCUUUUUUUUCUCAAAGUAAUACUGAGAAUUUUUCAAGCAAAGAGGGAAGGUGACGCUUGAUCUAGCUCUUAAUGUUAAAAGAGGUGGCAGUGCAGCUUUUAAACUAACUCUUAGGGGAAUGUCAACUGGAGAUGAGUCAUCCCAAGAGGGCAAGGGGGGAAAACACUCACCGUCAUAUGGACAGGAAGGGGUUAGAACUUGAGAACGAGGGUGGGGUAGUAAAUGAGGGAAGAGAUCACAAGACAAAAGGACCCUGGCCAGGGGGAAUGAGGUACAGGUGUCUGUAUGCCAAUGGCAGAUGCCUCCAAGCCAAGAUGAGAAGAGGACUUGGUACUAAGUGACAAUCUAGUAGAAAUAGUGGGUGUUUCAGAUGUGGCACAUCAAUGGGGCAGAGGUAUUCCUGGAUACAAAUUCUAUAGACAGGACAUUUGGGACGGGUGUUUUGUGGGCCAAAAUGGGCAUAGAGUCAAAUAAAAUGCAGAGGGGGAGGGAAUAAACUCCCCCAAUGAAUUGCUACGGUUAGUGAAUUAUUCCUAAAAGUUCCUUUAAAGUGUGUACAGGGGAGGGGGGUUAGUAUUAGCCACCUGAUCAAAUGUUGAAGCUCUUGUUGAGAUGGGGAAGGGGAAGGGAGGCAACUCAAUUUAAAAAAUGAUGUCAUCUGACUUUAGUUACCUUUACAUUGUCUGGGCAAACGUGCGCUCAAGUCACGCUGUAGAAAUGAAUUUUCAGGACAUGAUAAAUGACUGGUUUGUUACAGUUGGUCAUGGAGCCGACUAGAUGGGUAGUGGCCCUGGACUUGGUUCUGAGCAGAUGUAGGUGGUGUUGCACUUAUUUGGAACAGUGAACACAACACAAUUAAGUUUGUCAUUUGCAUCAGUGGAAAGUUGCCCCCUGAAUCCAAAACCGUCUCUCCAUUUCCAAAGGAAGAGACCUUUACAAAAGUGAUGGGACUCAUCAGAAAGAAGUUAAAGGGGAUAAUCAAGAGAUGCCCGGAAGCAAUUCAGAACCGCAUUAAUUGAGACCCAGAGAGAACACAGAUGCCCGAGAGAGCCGGAGGAAGGUUGUCUGAAGAACUGAAUCAAGUUGAGGUACUACCAGGAAAACUGAAAACUUAUGUCUACAGGUGUGAUGGUGUAAUAUGCUUUUUGCUGUUGACUCUCUGUAGUUGUGUUUUCAUUGUGUUUUAUUUUCCUUUGCUCUAUCUUUUAACUUUUCUACAAUAAAAAUAAAAAAUAAUUUAAAAA